Molecule: ribosomal RNA, 837 nt
Filed under: uncultured archaeon
Lineage: Archaea
Description: bacterial SSU rRNA
Rfam family: Archaeal small subunit ribosomal RNA
Source: RNAcentral
GGUUACUGCUAUCGGUGUUCGCCUAAGCCAUGCGAGUCAUAUGUUCUUCGGAACAUGGCGUACUGCUCAGUAACACGUGGAUAACCUGCCCUUGGGUCCGGCAUAACCCCGGGAAACUGGGGAUAAUUCCGGAUAACGCACAUAUGCUGGAAUGCUUUAUGCGUCAAAUGGAUUCGUCCGCCCAAGGAUGGGUCUGCGGCCUAUCAGGUAGUAGUGGGUGUAAUGUACCUACUAGCCUACGACGGGUACGGGUUGUGAGAGCAAGAGCCCGGAGAUGGAUUCUGAGACAUGAAUCCAGGCCCUACGGGGCGCAGCAGGCGCGAAAACUUUACAAUGCGGGAAACCGUGAUAAGGGGACAUCGAGUGCCAGCAUCAUAUGCUGGCUGUCCGGGUGUGUAAAAUACACCUGUUAGCAAGGGCCGGGCAAGACCGGUGCCAGCCGCCGCGGUAACACCGGCGGCCCGAGUGGUGAUCGUGAUUAUUGGGUCUAAAGGGUCCGUAGCCGGUUUGGUCAGUCCUCCGGGAAAUCUGACGGCUUAACCGUUAGGCUUUCGGGGGAUACUGCCAGACUUGGAACCGGGAGAGGUAAGAGGUACUACAGGGGUAGGAGUGAAAUCUUGUAAUCCCUGUGGGACCACCUGUGGCGAAGGCGUCUUACCAGAACGGGUUCGACGGUGAGGGACGAAAGCUGGGGGCACGAACCGGAUUAGAUACCCGGGUAGUCCCAGCCAUAAACGAUGCUCGCUAGGUGUCAGGCAUGGCGCGACCGUGUCUGGUGCCGCAGGGAAGCCGUGAAGCGAGCCACCUGGGAAGUACGGCCGCAAGGCUGAAACUUAA